RNAcentral lists this transfer RNA (71 nucleotides) under Nacolus tuberculatus. Its description in RNAcentral is "tRNA-Gln". It matches the Rfam family "tRNA". From Rfam's summary of the family: Transfer RNA (tRNA) molecules are approximately 80 nucleotides in length. The record is from RNAcentral. Lineage: Eukaryota; Metazoa; Arthropoda; Insecta; Hemiptera; Cicadellidae.
UGUAAAAUAGUGUAAGAAAAGCACAGUAGUUUUUGAUUCUACAAGAAUUAGUUUAAUUCUAAAUUUUACAA